CGGGAAUAUUGGGCAAUGGGGGAAACCCUGACCCAGCAACGCCGCGUGAGUGACGAAGGCCUUCGGGUCGUAAAGCUCUGUCCUUGGGGACGAAGAAUGACGGUACCCAAGAAGAAAGCCACGGCUAACUACGUGCCAGCAGCCGCGGUAAUACGUAGGUGGCAAGCGUUGUCCGGAAUUACUGGGCGUAAAGGGCGAGUAGGCGGUUCUGGCCGUCAGAUGUGAAAGGCAAGGGCUCAACCCUUGGACAGCAUUUGAAACACCAGGACUUGAGUGCGGUAGAGGAAAGUGGAAUUCCCAGUGUAGCGGUGAAAUGCGUAGAUAUUGGGAGGAACACCAGUGGCGAAGGCGACUUUCUGGGCCGUAACUGACGCUGAGGCGCGAAAGCGUGGGGAGCAAAC
RNAcentral lists this ribosomal RNA (401 nucleotides) under uncultured bacterium. Its description in RNAcentral is "bacterial SSU rRNA". It matches the Rfam family "Bacterial small subunit ribosomal RNA", at positions 356 to 773 of the family's 1533-position model. The record is from RNAcentral.